AGAUGCACAGGGCCUUGCUCUGUCCCCCAGGCUGGAGUACAGUGGCUCCAUCAUGGAUCACUGCAGCCUCUAACUCCUGGGCUCAAGCAAUCCUCCUGUGUCAGCCUCCCAGAUACCUAGGAUUACAGAUAUGUGCCCCAAUGCCUGCCUAAUUUUUCUUUGUAUUUUUUCUGGAGAUGGGGUUUGCUACAUUGCCCAGACUGGUCUCAAACACCUGGGUUCAGUUGUCCUGCCUCGGCCUCCCAAAGUGCUGGGAUUACAGGCAUGAGCCACCACACUCGAACACUUGGGGUGGUUUUAAGCCCCCAGCAAGGUGCACCAGCAGGACCAGGAGGUGGCCUAGGCACCCCCUAUCACUCCCAUCCAUGCAAACCUAGGCAAGUCCCUGUCUCUGAAUCUCAGCCACCACCACAUACAAUGCAAGUCGGAAGAUGGGCAGGACUGGGGGUGGGGCAGGCAGAGGCCACCUCUGUCAGGCUGGGGUUGCAUGGGCUGGAGGCUGUCUUCCCAUACCUGGGACAUGACCUCCAAGGACCAGCUGUCAGUCAUGGUGAUGGGCUGGCUGGGGUUGGCAGGGAGCUUGCUCUCCUUCUCGGAGGGCCGGAGCAGCGUGGGGCCAAACACCGUGCCAAGGUUGUGCAGGGACAUCUUAUUGACUGCCUCCUUCUCUGCCAUCCUGUAGAGGACCGAAGCAGAGGGUGCUGUUUCAACGCCACCACCAGGAGAGAGGCAGAGGGGCUGUGCCGUGCUAGAGUCCUCAGGGAGGGAGUGACCUCGACCCUGGCUGUGCUGCAAGCUGACUCCAGCCUUGGGGUCAGCAGCACCCGGCAAACAGCAGCAGGAGGAGCCGCUAGAGCAGCUGCUCAUGGGCAGAGCUGCCCUCGGGCAACUCCUGCCACCACCCCCUCCCCAGGGAGCCCAAGGCAGGGGAGGCUCAGCAUGGAAUGAAACAGCCUCUGAGGGCAGCAGUGCACGUGGAGGAGACGUCUCCCAUGAGGCCAAGGCCUCCAGUGCUCACCGAUGCCCUCUGCGAAGUUGGGGUAGAACUCGUCAGUGAAGAGGGGCUCGGGCAGCUCACGGAAGUACAGCUUCAGCAUGCCUGCGAUGGCGUUCACGUCCAUCUCGCUCAUCAUCACUGACACGUCCUUGUUAUCUGGAAAGAGCACGGAAAUGCAGCGGCCUCCUUGAAGAUCCUGAUAAAUGAAGAAAAGACACAGAGAAGGAUGUGACAUGCCUGGGCCAUGGAGCACUCUGAGAUCUCAUCGUGGACACCACUGCCCACACCUCCAUCCCGUCCUGCGCAGGCCGACACUCACUGACGUUGAAGCCUGCCUUCAGUGCCUGGAUGUCUGCGGCCACCCCAGACAUGCGGUAGAUGCCCACCUCCUCCAUGCCUCGGCGCUCGAUCUCCUCCACGCACUGACGCACGAUGUAGGGCACCUUGGACCUCUCUCUCCUGCGGGAGGAGGGAAUGUUCUCAGUGUCCUAACAGCCCUGCUUGGGCCAUAACACAGGAGACCUGCUCCCUAUCUGCGCACCCGGAGGUGGGGUGAGGACGGUGAC
This 1563-nucleotide long non-coding RNA is filed under the name Homo sapiens (human). Its description in RNAcentral is "non-protein coding lnc-SLC7A4-3:3". The record is from RNAcentral. Lineage: Eukaryota; Metazoa; Chordata; Mammalia; Primates; Hominidae.